AGAGUUUGAUCAUGGCUCAGGACGAACGCUGGCGGCACGCUUAACACAUGCAAGUCGAACGAGAGAAGAGGAGCUUGCUUUUCUGAUCUAGUGGCGGACGGGUGAGUAACACGUGAGCAAUCUGCCUUUCAGAGGGGGAUACCGAUUGGAAACGAUCGUUAAUACCGCAUAACAUAAUUGAACCGCAUGAUUUGAUUAUCAAAGAUUUAUCGCUGAAAGAUGAGCUCGCGUCUGAUUAGCUAGUUGGUAAGGUAACGGCUUACCAAGGCGACGAUCAGUAGCCGGACUGAGAGGUUGAUCGGCCACAUUGGGACUGAGACACGGCCCAGACUCCUACGGGAGGCAGCAGUGGGGAAUAUUGCACAAUGGAGGAAACUCUGAUGCAGCGAUGCCGCGUGAGGGAAGAAGGUUUUAGGAUUGUAAACCUCUGUCUUCAGGGACGAAAAAAGACGGUACCUGAGGAGGAAGCUCCGGCUAGCUACGUGCCAGCAGCCGCGGUAAUACGUAGGGAGCGAGCGUUGUCCGGAAUUACUGGGUGUAAAGGGAGCGUAGGCGGGAUCGCAAGUCAGAUGUGAAAACUAUGGGCUUAACCCAUAAACUGCAUUUGAAACUGUGGUUCUUGAGUGAAGUAGAGGUAAGCGGAAUUCCUAGUGUAGCGGUGAAAUGCGUAGAUAUUAGGAGGAACAUCAGUGGCGAAGGCGGCUUACUGGGCUUUAACUGACGCUGAGGCUCGAAAGCGUGGGGAGCAAACAGGAUUAGAUACCCUGGUAGUCCACGCCGUAAACGAUGAUUACUAGGUGUGGGGGGACUGACCCCUUCCGUGCCGCAGCAAACGCAAUAAGUAAUCCACCUGGGGAGUACGACCGCAAGGUUGAAACUCAAAGGAAUUGACGGGGGCCCGCACAAGCAGUGGAGUAUGUGGAUUAAUUCGAAGCAACGCGAAGAACCUUACCAGGUCUUGACAUCGUAUGCAUAGCUCAGAGAUGAGUGAAAUCUCUUCGGAGACAUAUAGACAGGUGGUGCAUGGUUGUCGUCAGCUCGUGUCGUGAGAUGUUGGGUUAAGUCCCGCAACGAGCGCAACCCUUACUGUUAGUUGCUACGCAAGAGCACUCUAGCAGGACUGCCGUUGACAAAACGGAGGAAGGUGGGGAUGACGUCAAAUCAUCAUGCCCCUUAUGACCUGGGCCUCACACGUACUACAAUGGCUGUCAACAGAGGGAAGCAAAGCCGCGAGGUGGAGCGAACCCCUAAAAGCAGUCUUAGUUCGGAUUGUAGGCUGCAACCCGCCUACAUGAAGUCGGAAUUGCUAGUAAUCGCAGAUCAGCAUGCUGCGGUGAAUACGUUCCCGGGCCUUGUACACACCGCCCGUCACGCCAUGGGAGUCGGUAACACCCGAAGCCUGUAGUCUAACCGCAAGGAGGACGCAGUCGAAGGUGGGAUUGAUGACUGGGGUGAAGUCGUAACAAGGUA
RNAcentral lists this ribosomal RNA (1470 nucleotides) under metagenome. Its description in RNAcentral is "bacterial SSU rRNA". It matches the Rfam family "Bacterial small subunit ribosomal RNA". The record is from RNAcentral.